This 366-nucleotide long non-coding RNA is filed under the name Capsicum annuum. RNAcentral describes it as "long non-coding RNA (CANN_LNC005124)". The record is from RNAcentral. Lineage: Eukaryota; Viridiplantae; Streptophyta; Magnoliopsida; Solanales; Solanaceae.
GGGACAAAGAGAAAAUACAGAGACAACCAAAAAAAGGUAGAAACAGACAAAGAAAAAAACCAAAACUGAGAAGAGAAACAAUUAGAAAAAAAAGGGAAAAAGAAGACACAGACGACAAAAACCAAAGUGAAAAAGAGAGGAAAAAGAAAGAAGAAAGAGUGACUAGUUGAUUUCGAGUUUCUAUCUCGAGUUUCUGGUGAAGGCCUUCUUGUUUAUACUUUAGCUAUUCUACAAAAUAGGUUCUUAUUCGAUUCCUUUAUUUGUAACAAAUUUUUAUAUGAAAUCAAAGCACGAAUGAAGUUAUUUCUAUGUUGUUUGCUCAUUUUCUUUGUAUAUUAUGUAUUUUUCAUUUUGAAAUGAAGUAUA